GACGGAGGAUGCAAGCGUUAUCCGGAAUUAUUGGGCGUAAAGCGUACGCAGGUGGUCCAUCAAGUCUAUUGUCAAAGAGCAGAGCUCAACUCUGUAAAGGCGAUAGAAACUGGUGAGCUAGAGUAUGGUAGGGGCAGGAGGAAUUCCCAGUGUAGCGGUGAAAUGCGUAGAUAUUGGGAAGAACACCAGUGGCGAAAGCGUCCUGCCAAGCCAAAACUGACACUCAUGUACGAAAGCUAGGGGAGCGAAUGGG
This 253-nucleotide ribosomal RNA is filed under the name uncultured bacterium. RNAcentral describes it as "partial 16S ribosomal RNA". It matches the Rfam family "Bacterial small subunit ribosomal RNA", at positions 524 to 776 of the family's 1533-position model. The record is from RNAcentral.